This 305-nucleotide unclassified non-coding RNA is filed under the name plant metagenome. Its description in RNAcentral is "partial contains 5.8S ribosomal RNA, internal transcribed spacer 2, and large subunit ribosomal RNA". The stretch from base 1 to 105 matches the Rfam family "5.8S ribosomal RNA", at positions 50 to 154 of the family's 154-position model. The record is from RNAcentral.
GAAAUGCGAUAAGUAAUGUGAAUUGCAGAAUUCAGUGAAUCAUCGAAUCUUUGAACGAACAUUGCGCCCGCCAGUAUUCUGGCGGGCAUGCCUGUUCGAGCGUCAUUUCAACCAUCAAGCCCCCGGCUUGUGUUGGGGACCUGCGGCUGCCCGCAGGCCCUGAAAAACAGUGGCGGGCUCGCUGUCACACCGAGCGUAGUAGCAUACAUUCUCGCUCAGGGCGUGCUGCGGGUUCCGGCCGUUAAACGACCUUCAUAACCCAAGGUUGACCUCGGAUCAGGUAGGAAGACCCGCUGAACUUAAGC